GACGAACGCUGGCGGCGUGCCUAACACAUGCAAGUCGACAUGAGUGGCGAACGGGUUAGUAAUACGUGGGGAACCUGCCCUCCUUUUUGGGAUAAGCCUCGGAAACGGGGUCUAAUACCGCAUUAAGAGCGAUGGGCUCGCGGCCUGUCAGCUUGGUGGUGGGGUGCUGGCCUGCCAAGGCGGUGACGGGUUGCCGGCCUGAGCGGCUGAACGGCAAAAUUGAGACGGAAAUACGGCCCAGGCUCGUACGGGAGGCAGCAGUGGGGGAUAUUGGACAAGGGGCGAAGGCCUGAUGCAGCGACGCCGCGGGGGGGAUGAAGGCUUUCGGGUUGUAAACCUCUUUCGCUAUCGAACGGGUAGGUGGAGAAGAAGCGCCGGCUAACUACGUGCCAGCAGCCGCGGUAAUUC
Molecule: ribosomal RNA, 408 nt
Filed under: uncultured bacterium
Lineage: Bacteria
Description: partial 16S ribosomal RNA
Rfam family: Bacterial small subunit ribosomal RNA
Source: RNAcentral